GUUACCGCAGAGAAGCACCGGCUAACUCCGUGCCAGCAGCCGCGGUAAUACGGAGGGUGCCAGGCGUUAAUCGGAAUUACUGGGCGUAAAGCGCACGCAGGCGGUCCAUUAAGUUAGAUGUGAAAUCCCCGGGCUUAACCCGGGAACGGCAUCUAAGACUGGUGGGCUAGAGUCUCGUAGAGGGGGGUAGAAUUCCACGUGUAGCGGUGAAAUGCGUAGAGAUGUGGAGGAAUACCGGUGGCGAAGGCGGCCCCCUGGACGAAGACUGACGCUCAGGUGCGAAAGCGUGGGGAGCAAACAGGAUUAGAUACCCUGGUAGUCCACGCCGUAAACGAUGUCGAUUUGGAGGUUGUGCCCUUGAGGUGUGGCUUCCGGAGCUAACGCGUUAAAUCGACCGCCUGGGGAGUACGGUCGCAAGAUUAAAACUCAAAUGAAUUGACGGGGGCCCGCACAAGCGGUGGAGCAUGUGGUUUAAUUCGAUGCAACGCGAAGAACCUUACCUACUCUUGACAUCCACGGAAUUCUGCAGAGAUGCGGAAGUGCCUUCGGGAACCGUGAGACAGGUGCUGCAUGGCUGUCGUCAGCUCGUGUUGUGAAAUGUUGGGUUAAGUCCCGCAACGAGCGCAACCCUUAUCCUUUGUUGCCAGCACGUUAUGGUGGGAACUCAAGGGAGACUGCCGGUGAUAAACCGGAGGAAGGUGGGGAUGACGUCAAGUCAUCAUGGCCCUGACGAGUAGGGCUACACACGUGCUACAAUGGCGGAUACAAAGAGAAGCGACCUCGCGAGAGCAAGCGGAACUCAUAAAGUCUGUCGUAGUCCGGAUUGGAGUCUGCAACUCGACUCCAUGAAGUCGGAAUCGCUAGUAAUCGUAGAUCAGCAUGCUACGGUGAAUACGUUCCCGGGCCUUGUACACACCGCCCGUCACACCAUGGGAGUGGGUGGCAAAAGAAGUCGGUAGCUUAACCUUCGGGAGGGCGCUGACCACUUUG
RNAcentral lists this ribosomal RNA (990 nucleotides) under Xenorhabdus sp. SGdl2. RNAcentral's name for it is "bacterial SSU rRNA". It matches the Rfam family "Bacterial small subunit ribosomal RNA", at positions 475 to 1464 of the family's 1533-position model. Lineage: Bacteria; Pseudomonadati; Pseudomonadota; Gammaproteobacteria; Enterobacterales; Morganellaceae. The record is from RNAcentral.